Molecule: unclassified non-coding RNA, 516 nt
Filed under: Hevea brasiliensis (rubber tree)
Lineage: Eukaryota; Viridiplantae; Streptophyta; Magnoliopsida; Malpighiales; Euphorbiaceae
Source: RNAcentral
CCCCCCUGCCGGUACAUACGACUACUGGGCAGACCCAUACACACUGUUUGUGCUGGAAAUGGCACUCAUGGGAUUUGCAGAGCACAGGAGAUUCCAAGAUUGGGCAAACCCAGGCUCCAUGGGCAAGCAGUAUUUCUUGGGGUUGGAGAAGUAUUUGGGAGGGUCUGGAGACCCAAUCUACCCGGGAGGACCCCUGUUCAACCCUCUUGGGUUAGGUAAAGAUGAGAAAUCAAUGAAAGAUUUGAAGCUCAAGGAGGUGAAGAAUGGGAGGUUGGCUAUGCUGGCAAUUGUGGGUUACUUCAUACAAGCUCUUGUGACUGGAGUUGGACCAUACCAAAACCUCCUGGAUCACUUGGCUGAUCCUGUCAACAACAAUAUCUUGACAAGCCUCAAGUUCCAUUAGAGCCAAUUCUUGUCUAUUUGUGGAUUGGACCUGCCCUAGCUGCUUCUUCCCUUUGGCCUUUCUUUUCUCCUACUCAUUGUAACAAUCGUGUGAAAAAGCCCUACUGUAAUUUU